This 585-nucleotide long non-coding RNA is filed under the name Physcomitrium patens. RNAcentral describes it as "long non-coding RNA (PPAT_LNC002683)". Lineage: Eukaryota; Viridiplantae; Streptophyta; Bryopsida; Funariales; Funariaceae. The record is from RNAcentral.
CUAAUAGAAAACUAACAAUGCUAAGCAAGCUUUAAUCAAAUUCAAAGAAACCUUAAAGUAAUUACAAAGAAAUAAUGAGAAAUUUUAAAGAAAUAUUAAAAUAAUUACAAAUAUAUCUCAAAUAAAUCUGAAUCCAAUCUUAAUUUAAUCCUAUUUAAAAUCCUAUUGGACUUCAUUCAAACUUUAGGCCUAAAACUAACUAAAUCUUAAUCCCUAAAUAAAUCCUAAAUAAAUCUUAAAUAAAUCCUAAUUAAAUCCUAAUAAAAUCCUAAACUCUAAAUCAAAUCUUAAUCUAAUUCUAAUCUUUAUUAAAUCCUAAUCAAAUCCUAAAUCCCAAAUCAAAUCCUAAUCAAAUUCUAAAUUCUAAACCAAAUCCUAAUCAAAUUCUAAAUCCUAAACCAAAUCCUAAUAAAAACUUAAACCCUAAAUCAAAUCCUAACCAAAUCCUAUAUCUUAAAUCAAACCUUAAAUCCUAAAUCAAACCCUAACUGAAUCCUAAAUCCUAAAUUAAACCCUAAAUCCUAAAAUAAACUCUAAAUCAAAUCCUAAUCAAAUCUUAAAUCCUAAAUCAAAUCCUAACCAAAU